Molecule: ribosomal RNA, 440 nt
Filed under: uncultured bacterium
Lineage: Bacteria
Description: partial 16S ribosomal RNA
Rfam family: Bacterial small subunit ribosomal RNA
Source: RNAcentral
CCUACGGGAGGCAGCAGUGGGGAAUAUUGCACAAUGGGGGGAACCCUGAUGCAGCGACGCCGCGUGAGUGAAGAAGUAUCUCGGUACGGUAAGCUCCAUUUGCAGGGAAGAAAAUGACGGUACGUGUCUAAGAAGCCCCGGCUAACUCCGUGCAAGCAGCCGCGGUAACACGUAGGGGGCAAGCGUUAUCCGGAUUUACUGGGUGUAAAGGGGGCGUAGAGGGGGGCAGAAGUCUGGAGUGAAAUCCCGGGGCUUAACCCCGGAACUGCGUUGGAAACUGUGCGGCUGGAGUGCAGGAGGGGUAAGCGGAAUGCGUGGUGUAGCGGUGAAAUGCGUAGAUAUUAGGCAGAACACCGGUUGCGAAGGCAGCUUACUGGACUGUAACUGACGUUGAGGCACGAAAGCGUGGGGAGCAAACAGGAUUAGAUACCCUAGUAGUC